GAUGAACGCUGGCGGCGUGCCUAAUACAUGCAAGUCGAGCGAACGGACGAGAAGCUUGCUUCUCUGAUGUUAGCGGCGGACGGGUGAGUAACACGUGGAUAACCUACCUAUAAGACUGGGAUAACUUCGGGAAACCGGAGCUAAUACCGGAUAAUAUUUUGAACCGCAUGGUUCAAAAGUGAAAGACGGUCUUGCUGUCACUUAUAGAUGGAUCCGCGCUGCAUUAGCUAGUUGGUAAGGUAACGGCUUACCAAGGCAACGAUGCAUAGCCGACCUGAAAGCGAGAUCGGCCACACUGGAACUGAGACACGGUCCAGACUCCGACGGGAGGCAGCAGUAGGGAAUCUUCCGCAAUGGGGGAAAGCCUGACGGAGCAACGCCGCGUGAGUGAUGAAGGUCCUCGGAUCGUAAAACUCUGUUAUUAGUGAAGAACAUAUGUGUAAGUAACUGUGCACAUCUUGACGGUACCUAAUCAGAAAGCCACGGCUAACUACGUG
Molecule: ribosomal RNA, 497 nt
Filed under: uncultured bacterium
Lineage: Bacteria
Description: partial 16S ribosomal RNA
Rfam family: Bacterial small subunit ribosomal RNA
Source: RNAcentral